AAUCAGUUGAAAUGUGUGGUACUUUAUGGGUAGUCGGCUAAUACGGGCAAAUCUCUUACUAAUCGUGCUUCGUUACAUCAUUGGUGGGGAGACCCGGGUUGAGUUACGCUGUAAAAAUGACUGAAAGGCAGGUACCGUCAGCUUCUGACGCAUCAUCAAGUAGUAAGCGUAAGGUGCUUCCUAUGAUGUCACGCGUACGGGGAAUUAGGGUUCGACUCCGGAGAAUGAGCAUGAGAGACGGCUCAUAGUUCUAAGGGAGGCAGCAGGCGCGGAAAUUGCCCAAUGUGCAAUCGCACGAGGCAGUGACGAAGAAUCUUGAGCAGACUUUGUCUGUAUUAAGCUGAGGAGGGUGUAGAUGCCCCUCCGAACGCAAUUAGUGGGAGAGCAUGGUGCCAGCAGCCGCGGUAAUUCCAUCACUGACAGCUUUUCCUUACGUUGUUGCAGUUAAAAAGCUCGUAGCCGUUGCUAGAGAGAUCGUGUCACUUUGAGAAAACAGGAGUGUUUAUAACAGGGUUUCCGCKUGCACAGCUCAGCAAAGAAUGACAUGCCCGAUUUCUUAGGGAGSUCGGGACGUACCAUAUGGCGGCGCGGGACUGGUAGUAUUUGGGAGGGACAGGUGAAAUAGGAUGAUCUCCCAAGGACUCUCAACAGCGAAGGCAGCCGGUAAGCGCCGUCCAGUUGGUCAAGAGCGAAAGUGUGAGGAUAGACGAUGAUUAGAAACCGUUUUAUUUCACGCCUUAAACGAUACCAUCUCAGAAGCGGGCUCACAGGCUCGCAUCUCAAGGGAAACCGCAAGGUUUCGGGUUCUGGGGGAAGUAUGAUUGCAAGAUUGAAACUUGAAGGUAUUGACGGAAAAUUAWACAAGACGUGGAGUCUGCGGCUYAAUUUGACUYAACACGCWAAUCUUACCAGACCCAGAUGCUUUACGGAGCAACAGAUUGAGAGUUCUUUUGCGAUUGGGCAGUUGGUGGUGCAUGGCCGCUCCUAGUUCGUGGUGUAAACUGUCUGCCUUAUUGCGUUAACGAGCGAGACAACCGUUCCAAAUCUUGGAAGAGCGCCAGCGCUGAGCUGGACGAACGCGGUUGCACUAGCAGGUCUGUGAUGCCCUUAGACACUCUGGGCCGCACGCGUACUACACUGUUGGCUGCACAUCGUCGCCUGCUCGGAAGRGCCGGCCAUUCGUGCGAACCGCCAACGUGGUAGGGAUCGAAGCUUGGAAUUCUUCUUCGUGAACUAGGAAUGUCUUGUAAGUGCUUAUCAUUAUAAAGCGCUGAAUGCGUCCCUGACUUUUGUACACACCGCCCGUCGCUCCUACCGACUUGGAUGAUUUGGUGAGUUGUUCGGACCCCACAGCGCAAGCCGAGGGGAAAGUCCUGCGAACCUAAUUGUCUGGAGGAAGAGAAUAAU
This 1407-nucleotide ribosomal RNA is filed under the name Trimitus sp. KOMPKOJ. Its description in RNAcentral is "SSU rRNA". It matches the Rfam family "Eukaryotic small subunit ribosomal RNA". Lineage: Eukaryota; Fornicata; Diplomonadida; Hexamitidae. The record is from RNAcentral.